GUGGAAAGCAGGCCGCGUGACUGAUUUAGGGAACAGAAGCCCCCACUGUGAACUGAAGGAAGGAAUGCAGCUCGAAAAGCAGGGCACCUGACCCAGGACGUGUGCUACAGUCGGAAAACUGGACCUUUAGCGAACUAUGGGGAGGCAAUCUGUUGGCAUCAAACACCCAGAUGAGCAUCUCUUUCCAGGAGACACAAUAGACAGCAGAUGCUGGAAUCUGGAGCGACAAAUAACUGGCUGGAGGAACUGAGCGUCUGAGCAGCAUCUGUGUGGAGGGAGAGGAAUUGCCUACAUUUCGGGUCGAACCCCUGUCUAUCUCUGCCACACUGCAUCAAUAUUCAUCUAUCAUCUGCCUCAUGAUCUCAGUGGAGUAAACUGUGUGGCAGGUGGGCCCAUCCCAGAACUUUGCCCACAGAUUUGAUGCCACGAUCCAGGGAUGUACCACAAAAACUGAUGUGCAAAGCUCCAAUGAAGAAGUUCUUCUCCCAGUUAGCUCACUCACCUUUUUUGGCUUUAAAAUACUUAUUUCUUGAUUUUAAGCUUUAGGUCAUAGAACCUUCAGUCCACAAUAUUGCGCCAAACUAACUAAAGAUUAGCUUCAUUUGUUACAUGAACAUCAAAACGUCAAAGCACACAGUGAGGUGAGCAAGAAGAACCUGCUCAGCAACGAAUCUCAAUAAAUAAAAUAACUAAUGUGGUCACGGUGAGAACAUUAAAACUCCUUACAGACAGUGGUGGGAAUUGAGCCUCAAUCAAUUAUCACUGGCAAUUAAUUGCUAGUUUAAUUAGCAACUAACUAAUUAAACUAGUAAUUAAUUGCCUAAGUAAACAGUCCUGAUGAAGGGUCUCGGCCUAAAACGUUGACUGUUUGUUCUUUUCCAUAGAUGCUGCCUGACCUGCUGAGUCCCUCCAGCUUUUUGCGUGUGUUGCUCUGGAUUUCGAGCAUCUGCAGAAUCUCUUGUGUUUUCUCUUGACAAUUUUCUGUGAAUGGUAUGUCCUAGAGGUGCAGACUCUAGUAUUCAGCUGGUGGGGGCGGGGGAGUGGCUAUUCUCAUCUGGAGAUGCUCAGCUGGAUGACACACUUCCAUCCCUGUGUCAGGCACAGGAAGAAGCAGACAGGAGGAAGGAGAGAGCAUGCAAAUCUGAAAUUAUUUUAUAUGUAAAGAGAUAAGAUUGCCAACUCUGCUGGCUGUGGGAAUCAAUUUGCAACUGAAAUAUUGCACCCAGUUCUGCCAAGAAAAAUAUUUAUCUCUAGGAAAAUAAUCCGCGGUUGAUUUGGUUGCUUAACCCUGUACCUGCUGAAUAGAAUAUAUUUUAUUUCAUUGAGAGAUACACCGCAGAAGAGGCCCUUCUGGCACUUGAAAGUGAGCCCAUAGAUGGUGGAAUCAGUUCAGUGUUGAGGUGAGUGAAGCUUUCCAUCGUGGUCCAAGAGCCUGAGAGUUGAGGGGUAAUAACUGUUCCUAAACCUGGUGAGGCGGGACCAAACCCUUCUGUCCCUCCUUCCCGAUGACAGCAAUGAGAAGAGAGCAUGUCCUGGAUGGUCUGGGUCCUUGAUGAUGGAUGUUGUUUUCUUCUGUUAGCCCUCCUUGUAGAUGGCUCAGUCAGUGUUGGGGAAGGCUUUUCCUGUGCUGACUGGACAGUGUCCACUAUUUUAUGGUAAUUUUCCUUCCUGGAAAAAAAUACUCCUUUCAAAAUCCACCUCAAUUUCCCUUGUGAUGCUGGGUUAAUCUUUUUCCCAAGACAGGGACAACAGCAUUAUUGCUCCAGCAGUUGAUGAUGACUGGUUCUCCCUUUCCGCUGGACUCUGCCAGCAACACCGGGAAGUAGGUCUUGAUGCCAGGGCAGCCCAGGAGUUCCCCUUGCUCAGGCCCAUGGCACGAUGGAGAGGACACUCCACUGAUGUCGCAAGAUAUCAGCAUGACACGGGAAGUGGCAGUUACUGCUUAUAAGCUCAUCUGACUGGAGCAGGAAACGGAUACUGGGGCCACUUCUGCCGGCGGGAGAGAUCGUCGCAUCUCACUGGAUGUUGAAUAGAGCACUACCUGGAGCUGUAUGCAACCCGGAGCGUGGGGACCAAUGUUGCCCUGGAAGCACUAACUGACCUGCCAGUCAUGGAACAGCUCGAUGCGUUGUCUUCUACAGAGGAGCUCAGCAAAGCCAUUGACUGUCUGGGCAGUGGGAGAGCCUCAGGGGAAGGUGGAAUUCUCCCCAAAGUCUUGAAGAGUGGGAAGCCUGCCUUGCUGCAUCAUGUGCAUGAGUUUCUGUGUCUUUGCUGGGAGAAAGGCCACAUCCCCCAAGACAUGCGAGAUAUCAACAUUGUCACACUUUUCAAAAGCAAGGGUGAUCACAGUGAUUGUAACAACUACCGUGGCAUCUCUGUCCUUAGCAUUGUGGGGAAAGUGUUCUCCUGCAUUGUCUUGGCACGACUUCAGAGCCUUGCAUCCGGCAGGUCUCCAGUGGACAUGAUCUUCUCACUGUGCCAGCUGCAGUAUUGGGGGCAGCAGAAGCCACUGUACACAGCUUUCAUUGAUCUGACCGAGGUGUUCCAUGAGCAGGGUGGGUGAGAUCCUUCAUGAUGUUUCCAGUCUUUUUCAGGCACCUUACUGUACAUGUGUCCUUGAUGGUGCAUAGACUGGUGCUGGUGAUCUGUUGGGCAAUUUUGUCUAUCCAUUGUUUGCCACAGUGUCGUUUCUGUACCCUAGUGUUAGGAUGCUCUCUAAUUAGUUUUAAGGUCAUGAGUAUUUAUGUGCGUAGUCCAGCUCUCUUCAGCCUCCUCAGGACCUCAAGGCAUUGGUGAGCUUUCUUGAUUGUGGAGGAUGUGUUCUAGGACCAUGAAAAAUUGUGUGAGAUGUGAACUUACAGGAGUUUGAAACUAUUCACAGUGUCCACUGCUAUGCCACCAAUGUAAAGAGGGUUGUGAAUGGUUCCACACACAAAAUGCUGGAGGAACUCAGUAGGCCAGGCAGCAUCUAUGGAAAAGAGUAAACAGUUGACAUUUUGGGCUGAGACUCUUCAGCAGGACUCUUUUCCAUAGAUGCUGCCUGGCCUGCUGAGUUCCUCCAGCAUUUUGUGUGUAUUGUUUGGAUUUCCAGCAUCUGCAGAUUUUCUCUUGUUCGUGAAUGGUGUGAAUUCUCCUUGUUGACAACCAUCUCCGAUGUCUUGUUGACAUCAAGGAACACGUUAUUUGCCUGACACAAGCCUCAAGCUCUUCCACCUCCUCUCCAUAGGUCAUCUCAUGGUUGUGGCAGACUCUAUAUUGAAAAUAGAUUAUUUUUGCCUAUGAGUCAUAUGCCUAGCCUCCAGCACAUUAGCCAAUGCAGGGCUGGUAGUAACUACUCAGUAUCUAUACAGUUCUGUGUAUGUCUGGCUCAGAUCAGCCAGAAAUGUAAUGAAAUAUCUGAGAUGUUAGCCUUGACCCUCUCCCCAUAAGCAUGACCUGAUUUUUCUGAAUAUUUUGCUAUCUAAGUACAAACUCUUCAGCGGAACAAUCCCAAGAUGUUGGAGGAAUGAAGGAGGUCAGAUAGAGUCUGUGGAAAGGAACAGACAGUUGACAUUAAAGGUCAUCUUCCUUCAGGUCCUGAAGAUGAGUCUUGGCCUGAAACAUUGACUGUUUAUUCAUUUCCAUAGAUGCUGCCUGACCUGCUGAGUUCCUCCAGCAUUUUCUGUGUGUUUCUCUGGAUUUCCAGUGUCUGCAGAAUCUCUUGUGUUUAUGUUUGUUUUUCAUUCAUGAGGAGAGUCUGUCGCUUGAAAUAAUACUUCGACAUUAUGGAAGGGCCAGUUAAAAAUAAACUUACGGUAAUAAAUAUACAAUUGUUAAUUUUUCGAUUA
Long non-coding RNA from Hypanus sabinus (Atlantic stingray), 3827 nucleotides. RefSeq lists it as uncharacterized. The transcript has 2 exons. NCBI's taxonomy places the organism in Eukaryota, Metazoa, Chordata, Chondrichthyes, Myliobatiformes, Dasyatidae. The record is from RefSeq and is a predicted model, not a curated record.